AAGCCGAGGCCGAUAGGCGUAGGCGAUGGACAACAGGUUGAUAUUCCUGUACCAGUUGUUUUUGUUUGAGCAAUGGAGGGACGCAGUAGGCUAAGGAAUGCAUGCGAUUGGAAGUGCAUGUCCAAGCAAUGAGUCUUGAGUAGAGUUAAAUGCUUUACUCUCUAAGGACAAGUUGUGACGGGGAGCGAAAUAAUAGUAGCGAAGUUCCUGAUGUCACACUGCCAAGAAAAGCUUCUAGUGAGAAAACAACUGCCCGUACCGUAAACCGACACAGGUAGUCGAGGAGAGUAUCCUAAGGUGAGCGAGCGAACUCUCGUUAAGGAACUCGGCAAAAUGACCCCGUAACUUCGGGAGAAGGGGUGCU
Molecule: ribosomal RNA, 364 nt
Filed under: Enterococcus faecalis
Lineage: Bacteria; Bacillati; Bacillota; Bacilli; Lactobacillales; Enterococcaceae
Description: bacterial LSU rRNA
Rfam family: Bacterial large subunit ribosomal RNA
Source: RNAcentral